Molecule: ribosomal RNA, 534 nt
Filed under: uncultured bacterium
Lineage: Bacteria
Description: bacterial SSU rRNA
Rfam family: Bacterial small subunit ribosomal RNA
Source: RNAcentral
UUGGCCUUGACAUACUAAGAACUUUCCAGAGAUGGAUUGGUGCCUUCGGGAACUUAGAUACAGGUGCUGCAUGGCUGUCGUCAGCUCGUGUCGUGAGAUGUUGGGUUAAGUCCGCAACGAGCGCAACCCUUUUCCUUAUUUGCCAGCGGGUAAUGCCGGGAACUUUAAGGAUACUGCCAGUGACAAACUGGAGGAAGGCGGGGACGACGUCAAGUCAUCAUGGCCCUUACGGCCAGGGCUACACACGUGCUACAAUGGUAGGUACAAAGGGUUGCUACCUCGCGAGAGGAUGCUAAUCUCAAAAAGCCGAUCGUAGUCCGGAUCGCAGUCUGCAACUCGACUGCGUGAAGUCGGAAUCGCUAGUAAUCGCGGAUCAGAAUGCCGCGGUGAAUACGUUCCCGGGCCUUGUACACACCGCCCGUCACACCAUGGGAGUUUGUUGCACCAGAAGUAGGUAGUCUAACCGCAAGGAGGACGCUUACCACGGUGUGGCCGAUGACUGGGGUGAAGUCGUAACAAGGUAAGCGUAGAUGA